RNAcentral lists this small nucleolar RNA (132 nucleotides) under Tursiops truncatus (common bottlenose dolphin). Lineage: Eukaryota; Metazoa; Chordata; Mammalia; Artiodactyla; Delphinidae. The record is from RNAcentral.
UAUCAGAAAAAGCCCUGAUGGGGCUUUUUCUGUAAACCUGCAUCGCUGGAACCGCCUCGUAGAGUAACUAUGUGGUUUCCUUUACUCCUAGAACUAUGUGUUAGAUCUGUGGGGAAGAACUACAAGACAGAG